Molecule: ribosomal RNA, 210 nt
Filed under: uncultured bacterium
Lineage: Bacteria
Description: partial 16S ribosomal RNA
Rfam family: Bacterial small subunit ribosomal RNA
Source: RNAcentral
UACGAAGGGGCUAGCGUUGCUCGGAUUUACUGGGCGUAAAGGGCGCGUAGGCGGACAGUUAAGUCGGGGGUGAAAGCCCGGGCUCAACCUCGGAAUUGCCUUCGAUACUGGCUGUCUUGAGUGUGAGAGAGGUGUGUGGAACUCCGAGUGUAGAGGUGAAAUUCGUAGAUAUUCGGAAGAACACCAGUGGCGAAGGCGACACACUGGCUC